CAAGGCUAAAUACUCCUGACUGACCGAUAGUGAACCAGUACCGUGAGGGAAAGGCGAAAAGAACCCCGGCGAGGGGAGUGAAAAAGAACCUGAAACCGUGUACGUACAAGCAGUGGGAGCCUCUUAAUGGGGUGACUGCGUACCUUUUGUAUAAUGGGUCAGCGACUUAUAUUCUGUAGCAAGGUUAACCGAAUAGGGGAGCCGAAGGGAAACCGAGUCUUAACUGGGCGUUAAGUUGCAGGGUAUAGACCCGAAACCCGGUGAUCUAGCCAUGGGCAGGUUGAAGGUUGGGUAACACUAACUGGAGGACCGAACCGACUAAUGUUGAAAAAUUAGCGGAUGACUUGUGGCUGGGGGUGAAAGGCCAAUCAAACCGGGAGAUAGCUGGUUCUCCCCGAAAGCUAUUUAGGUAGCGCCUCGUGAAUUCAUCUCCGGGGGUAGAGCACUGUUUCGGCAAGGGGGUCAUCCCGACUUACCAACCCGAUGCAAACUGCGAAUACCGGAGAAUGUUAUCACGGGAGACACACGGCGGGUGCUAACGUCCGUCGUGAAGAGGGAAACAACCCAGACCGCCAGCUAAGGUCCCAAAGUCAUGGUUAAGUGGGAAACGAUGUGGGAAGGCCCAGACAGCCAGGAUGUUGGCUUAGAAGCAGCCAUCAUUUAAAGAAAGCGUAAUAGCUCACUGGUCGAGUCGGCCUGCGCGGAAGAUGUAACGGGGCUAAACCAUGCACCGAAGCUGCGGCAGCGACACUAUGUGUUGUUGGGUAGGGGAGCG
RNAcentral lists this ribosomal RNA (775 nucleotides) under Escherichia coli. RNAcentral's name for it is "partial 23S ribosomal RNA". It matches the Rfam family "Bacterial large subunit ribosomal RNA", at positions 461 to 1238 of the family's 2925-position model. Lineage: Bacteria; Pseudomonadati; Pseudomonadota; Gammaproteobacteria; Enterobacterales; Enterobacteriaceae. The record is from RNAcentral.